AGGACGAACGCUGGCGGCGUGCUUAACACAUGCAAGUCGAGCGGUAAGGCCUUUCGGGGUACACGAGCGGCGAACGGGUGAGUAACACGUGGGUGAUCUGCCCUGCACUCUGGGAUAAGCCUGGGAAACUGGGUCUAAUACCGGAUAUGACCUGCUCUCGCAUGGGGGUGGGUGGAAAGAUUUAUCGGUGCAGGAUGGGCCCGCGGCCUAUCAGCUUGGUUGGUGGGGUAAUGGCCUACCAAGGCGACGACGGGUAGCCGACCUGAGAGGUGACCGGCCACACUGGGACUGAGACGCGGCCCAGACUCCUACGGGAGGCAGCAGUGGGGAAUA
This 333-nucleotide ribosomal RNA is filed under the name uncultured soil bacterium. RNAcentral describes it as "bacterial SSU rRNA". It matches the Rfam family "Bacterial small subunit ribosomal RNA", at positions 26 to 363 of the family's 1533-position model. The record is from RNAcentral.